AGUGAACGCUGGCGGUAGGCCUAACACAUGCAAGUCGAACGGCAGCACAGUAAGAGCUUGCUCUUACGGGUGGCGAGUGGCGGACGGGUGAGGAAUACAUCGGAAUCUACUUUUUCGUGGGGGAUAACGUAGGGAAACUUACGCUAAUACCGCAUACGACCUACGGGUGAAAGCAGGGGAUCUUCGGACCUUGCGCGAUUGAAUGAGCCGAUGUCGGAUUAGCUAGUUGGCGGGGUAAAGGCCCACCAAGGCGACGAUCCGUAGCUGGUCUGAGAGGAUGAUCAGCCACACUGGAACUGAGACACGGUCCGGACUCCUACGGGAGGCAGCAGUGGGGAAUAUUGGACAAUGGGCGCAAGCCUGAUCCAGCCAUACCGCGUGGGUGAAGAAGGCCUUCGGGUUGUAAAGCCCUUUUGUUGGGAAAGAAAAGCAGCAGGUUAAUACCCCGCUGUUCUGACGGUACCCAAAGAAUAAGUACCGGCUAACUUCGUG
This 492-nucleotide ribosomal RNA is filed under the name uncultured bacterium. RNAcentral describes it as "partial 16S ribosomal RNA". It matches the Rfam family "Bacterial small subunit ribosomal RNA", at positions 29 to 507 of the family's 1533-position model. The record is from RNAcentral.